UAUUGCUCUUGAACGAGGAAUCAUAGUAAGUACAAGUCACUAGCUUGUGCUGAUUACGUCCCUGUUUCUUUGUACACACCGCCCGUCGCUACUACCGAUUGAAUGGCUUAGUGAGGCCCUCGGAUUGAGGCUCGGAGACUGGCUUCAUUACUCAUGGUCUUGAAAAGUUGGUCAAACUUGGUCAUUUAGAGGAAGUAAAAGUCGUAACAAGGUUUCCGUAGGUGAACCUGCGGAAGGAUCAUUACCAAUUUUUAGCGGACCUGAUCUUUGAUCAUGGUCUCGCGAAAACUUGUAUUUAAAACCCCACUCUUAUAAAUUGAAUCAUUUUUUAUAUUGUAUAAUAAAUAAAGAUCACUUUCAACAACGGAUCUCUUGGCUCUCGCAUCGAUGAAGAACGUAGCGAAGUGUGUUUUAUUAAUGUGAAUUGCAGAAUUCCGUGAAUCAUCGAAUCUUUGAACGCAGAUUGGGGUCUCUUCGGAGAGUAUGCCUGUUUGAGGGUCAGUAUUAAUAAAAAUCGGCGUGUUGCUCUUUCGUGACACUCCGGAGUUGGGUCAUCUUAUAACAGUACCUUUCAAGGUGUUUCUAAGAGGCUUAAAAUUGACAUCUUUUUUGCGCAUUUUAGACGUACAUAAAUUUUUUUUAUUCGUUUAUUCUAAUGCCAAAAUCUCUAUUAGAUGCGACCAUAUCGUGUGGUUUCCGUGUCUAUAAAUUUUUUCAUGAUUUGACCUCAAAUCAGUAGGAACACCCGCUGAACUUAAGCAUAUCAAUAAGCGGGAGGAAAAGAAAAUAACAAUGAUUUCCCCUAGUAACUGCGAGGUGAAGGAGGACCAAGCUCCAAAUUUUAAAUCUGGUCGGUUUUUCCUUGACCGAGUUGUUAAUUUGGAAGAAGCGUUUUCUGCGCUGUUUUGAUCAGCCCCAAGUCCUAUUUGAAUGAGCCAUUCAAUGGGAAGGGUGUGAAUAAAUCCCCGUUCCGGCUUGGAUCAUUGUGGCCUCUCUACGAUAUACGCUUUUCAAAGAGAGUUCAAAGAUGGUUGGGAAUUGGCAGCCUUAAAUGGGGAGCUAAUUUCCUUCCUAAG
RNAcentral lists this ribosomal RNA (1076 nucleotides) under uncultured Rhizophagus. RNAcentral describes it as "eukaryotic LSU rRNA". The stretch from base 1 to 244 matches the Rfam family "Eukaryotic small subunit ribosomal RNA", at positions 1591 to 1831 of the family's 1831-position model. The record is from RNAcentral. Lineage: Eukaryota; Fungi; Glomeromycota; Glomeromycetes; Glomerales; Glomeraceae.